GUCUUUAAAAUUAAAAAUUUUGGCGGUGUUUUAGUCUAUUCAGAGGAACUUGUUUUUGAAUUGAUAUUCCACGAUUUAAUUUACUUUAUUUUUAAGUUUAUAUAUCGUCGUAGUUAAAAUAUUUUAUAAUUUAAUGUUUUCAGAUCAAGGUGUAGUUUAUAGUAAAGUUAAAAUGAGUUACAAUAAGAAUUUAUAAUAAAUUGGAUUUGAAAGUAAGCUCUAAAAUAUGUACAUAUCGCCCGUCGCUUUCAUAUAAAGUGGAAUAAGUCGUAACAAAGUAGGCUUAUUGGAAAAUGAGCCUAGAAUGCAAAUUAGAGCUUGAUAAGCAUUUUAUUUACAUUAAAAAGUUAAUUGUGAAAUUCAAUUUAAUUUGAAUUUAAAAAUUUAUUUAUUUAAGAAAUUUUUUAAUUAUUUUAAAAGAAAUUAUGAUUUUAGUUAUAAAAUUAAAUAAUUUAAUUAUAGUGUAUAGUAUUGUGAAAGGAUAUUUGAAAAUAGUUUUAAGAAAAAUUAAUUUUUUGUACCUUGUGUAUCAGGGUUUAUUAAUUUAGAUUUCUCGAAUUUAGAAGAGUUAUUAUUAUUGUGGAAUAAAUAUAUAAAAUAUGUAAAUAGUAAUGAAAUGUUAUUCGUUUCUAAAUAUAUCUAGUUUUUUAAGAAAUAUAUUUAAUAGGUUUAAAUAAUAUAGUUAAGGGAUAAGCUUUGAAAAAUAUUUUUAUAAAGUAUUAAAAUUUAAAAAAUUAUAGGAUUAGAAUUUUUCAUUUUAAUAAGGAUGUUGUAAUUGAUGAUUUUAAAUUUUUUAUUAAAAAUUAAAUAUAAAUUUUUUGUAUUUAUUAAUAAUGAUAAAAUUAGUAAAAUUAAAAUAAGGAAUUCGGCAAAUAUUUUUUUUACCUGUUUACUAAAAACAUGUCUUUUAGAUUAUAAUUUAAAGUCUAGCCUGCUCAAUGAUUAAAUAGCCGCAGUAUUUUGACUGUGCAAAGGUAGCAUAAUCAUUAGUUUUUUAAUUGAAAGCUGGAAUGAAUGGUUUGAUAAGAAAAAAUCUGUCUCUAUAAUUUUAUUUUUAAGUAAGAAAGCUUAAAUUUUUUAAUAAGACGAGAAGACCCUAAAGAGUUUUUUUAUUGGGGUGAUAUAAAAAUUAAAUUAACUUUUUAUUUUUAUGAAUAAUUGAUCUUAGAUUAUAAGAAUAAAUUACCUU
Molecule: ribosomal RNA, 1189 nt
Filed under: Tenebrionoidea gen. 1 sp. NLG-2012
Lineage: Eukaryota; Metazoa; Arthropoda; Insecta; Coleoptera
Description: partial 16S ribosomal RNA
Source: RNAcentral